Long non-coding RNA from Gallus gallus (chicken), 4783 nucleotides. Lineage: Eukaryota; Metazoa; Chordata; Aves; Galliformes; Phasianidae. The record is from Ensembl.
CAGCUUUUAAACAGGAACGCUGGAAGGUUUCAGGUUCAGCAAGUCCUGGAGGACUUCUCUGGAAAUGUAGAGGCAUCUACAGAUGCAUUUGUCCCAAUACUGGCUUCGAGUGACCCUUCAUUAACAGCAUGCAUGGAGGGAGAACCUGUGGGUAGCUCGUCUCUGCCUUCAGACAUGAUUAUUCAUCGUGCGGCGACACGGAGAGUUCUCUGGCAGGAGUCAGACGUUACCUCUGCAGGAAUGGGGACUGCUCGUGGGAGCUGACGUCAGCACUCAGUGCAGUGAGGGUGUCAUUCCUUGUGCAAGACGAUGCUAUGCUGAACCUUUCUAGCCUGGUCAAUUUGAAAAUGCAUUCAAACCCAGAUAGCGAAGGACCACAGGCAUCUCUUGUCUUGUAGCUGGAAACACAGCAAAGCUUUACAAAAUGGACAUACUGGUUUUCUUUUUUUCUGAAUGGUUGCACUUAAAUCAGAACUCAGUGAUGUGUGCAUCUGCCAACACCAAACAAUACACCGUUUGUAGGUUUCUGUUUUCACAUGUCUAGCAAGGUUUGUAUUGAUCAAAUUUCACACUCAUAACGUCAAAGAAGCCAGAUUAUUUCACUGGAAUAAAAAUCAGUGCUUACAGACUUGUUGGAAAUAUUUUUAAAUUACCUUUCUCUUUUUACUGGCAUACAAAUUUUAAAGGAAGGUACGUUGCUUGUUUCUUCACUGAUAGAUUCAGAGGCAGUAUGUAUGGUUAGUAAUAAUUGUUUGGCAAGCCAAGCUGACUCCAAUGUUUGUUUUCGCAAUCCUUUCUACUGAAACCAACAUUGCUUUUCAGUCAGCUCUGUAUCUUAAACACAAUGUGUUGUGCACACAGGGCAAGGUGUGCCCCAUGACCCUGCCAGUUAUUCUGUGCAUGAUCAUAUUGCACUUAUCUAUCGUGGGAGAUUUGAAAAGCUUUCUCUCUGGGCCAUUGGAGGAAACCUUGUACUUUUGUAGCCUGACCGUGACAGAAAUCUGUAAGAUGAGAAGGUUUGCCAUGCCUAAGGUUAGUUCUGCUGCAGUAAGUCUUCCCGACAUCCAACAAUGCCAGAGAAAGCAUAGUUUCUGUUUGUGGAGAUUAAUUACUAUUGUGAAGGCAACUAAAAAUGAAAAGUGUGGGGUUUAUGGCAGUUUUAUUUUUAUUGCUGCUAUUAGUAGCUUCAAUUGCAGUCUGUAAGUAAAGUGGUGAGUUCUCAGGGAAUUUGUCAAGAGCAAGGACUGGUAGGUUAGAUCAAAAUGUGGUUUGUAGGAAGGGGAAUAUGGAAAGCAUUUCCUGUUUUUCAGCUGGCAUGGAUCUGCUUGAGCAAGACAUACUCUGCUAAAUUCAUCAAGCUGUUGUCCCAGACCCUGUAACAUGUGGCUCCAGCAGUGCCUUUACUCAGUUCGUAGCCUGGUGGAAAUGUCACAUCUGCCAAUCCUUACCACACAAUACAAAUGAGAAAAUACUUAAUCUUCAUACUUUAUGUGAGACCUCCUGGCUCUUUCCUUGUUGAGGGUGAGGACCACUCUCACUUUCUAUUAAAAGAAGGAACCAUGCUACCAAUCCUGUUGUUAUAUAAACCAAAUGUUGUUAUAUAAAUAAUUAUUCUGAAAUAUUUCAGUUCUGGCAUUUUUUUCUGGUGAUUUAUGGUGUUUUUAACCAAAGCAAUGAACAGAAAUUAAUACAAAGCUGUAUUAAAUUUAGUCAGAAAAAAUCAUGCAGCUUUUCAGUGUUCUAUUUAUCCUGCUAGUGUAGAUUUUUCUUCAAAAUAUAUGGCUCAAAUCUGCCCAGUUCUGCUUAACUCCGUCUUUUUUUCUCUCUCAGUUCUCCUGCUCCUUGACUAGAACCCAUCCUGACACACAAGCCAGGGCAAAUGCUUUUCAUUGCACACCCCAUGCUAGCGCUAUUUGUGUUCCUGAAUGUGAUCACUAGAAGCUUGCUUUGUCUCUUACUGCGAGAUGCAUGUUGGCAUUUCUUUAGAAAACCUGUGAAUACCACAGAGGCUCAAGGUGGACUUAAAGAUGCUCAAGGUCACAAAACAGAUUUAACAGCGUGACUGUACUGUUCAAGCAUAAGCAUUGUAGCCCUUCAUUCAGAGUGAUUUUGCUGCAGAGCAAGUUGGGCUGAACGAACCACUGGAGGUUGUUUGCAUGGAACUGCAACCGCAGACAAGAAGAUGGUUCUCUGAGGGCAUUACCAGCAUUUUCCUUGAAACAUUUGCUUCUUCAUGGAAACUUCCAUCUAUUAGCUUAGCUUGUUAGUUGUAAAGCCCUAUGGUUUGCUAAUCUUCUUCCUUCCUUAGCUUUUCAUUUCUUCAAAGUAGUGGUUACAGACUGGAACCUGCAAAGUGCUGAGCGCUGUAUUCCACAUCAAGCAAAACUCUUAAUGUUAAUCAUGCUCUGAAAAAUGCUGCCAGAUUAGAGCUAAAUCUUUACACAUCCCCUGUAUCUCUCCAGCUGGGUGCCUUUUUCGUUCAUGUAAAAGCAUGGCUGUGCAGUUAAGGCACUGAGCUUGGGCUGAGGCAGUGCUAAGUCCACUUUAAUCUACUACAGCCUUCUUUAAUCAUGUCCUAAUUUACGAAAUAGAAAUGAUAAAUAUUUUGUCUUUCUGAUUCUAAACUCUUGGGAUGGCAUUUAUUUCUUAGCCUUAUAAGAACAUUAAGACCUUAUGCGGUGCUACAAAUGAAUUCUGUCUCUUAGAGGGCAGACAUCUAAGCCCUGGGCUGACUGGCGAGGAUUCCUGCCAUCCAGCUUCAGAGCAGGAAUGCCCUGGGAGGGCUUCUUGUCGUUGGCUCUGUGCUGUCUAAUUGCACAGCAAAUAGCAUUGGUGCUUCAGAUAACGUUUUAUUCAAAGCCUUUUAUUUCCAGUUAAAUAAAAGAAGAGUAUAUUUCAGAUUGUCUUCACGUGCCUUCAUGUGAAGAAAGGCAAUGUUUUAGACGUUUUGAAAUUCAAUUCAAGUAAUGAGCAUUCAUUAUAUCUACAUUUUAAAGUGCCAGUUUCCAGCAUCUGCCUAAGAGAAAGUAUAUCUCACUUUUUCUCUCUACCUUUGUUAGUAAUUAUCAUAAUCACAGGGUAACAUCUCAUUUUUUGCAGUUUUGUGUAUUCUCUGAACAAUUCUUACCCGAUUGAGCUUACUGUCCCUGUCUCAUUUAUUUAAUUAAACAUUAAGUCAUUGAACUUUUAGUAUGCCAAGAUUACUAAUGUGGCAAAAUAGUAAUCCAUUAAACAUCCAGACAGUAAAUCUACCACCUACCUCUUUUGACGAGGUUAUAGUAUGCCAUACAAUUAAUUAUUUGAAGCUUGAAAACAAUUUCUGCGAAGUGCAAAAUGGAACUAUUACAUCUCCAUUAAAAGAAGAAAAGUAAUAACUUCUAAAGGUUUAAAAAACCUUUAAGCAAUAUCUGAUGUAUGUCGCUGCUACACAACACCUCCUGUGAAACAUUUCUUGCUUGUAAAGGCAAGAUCAUACCUACUGUUCUGAUAACAGUGAUUUACUGUGCUGUCUGUUUGUCCAUCAGUGCAUCUAUCUGUGAGUUAGCACGUUCCUAAAGCUCUUCACAAAGUUGACUUCCUUUUUCAAGCCAAGAGGUAGAGGUCUAAUAAGCAUCAUAGGAAGCAGCGCACUGCUAAACUGAUGAUGGGUGGAUGAGGGCCGAAGAGUGGCUCUGAAUUAACUUCCUGCUGGCUGAUGUUUCUGGAGGCACUUUCUCAACCACAGCAGAAGUCCGUCGUAAUAGUCAUAGAAUUACAGAUUCAUUAGGAUUGGAAAAGACCACUUCAGAUCAUCGAGUCCAGCCACCAACCCACCACCAUCAUGCCCAUUAUCCAUGUCACUCAGUGCCACAUCUACAUGUUUCUUAAACAUCUCCAGGGAUGGUGACUCCACCACCACUCUGGCAGCCUGUUCCAAUAAGCAUUCCCAAGUGCAUCAUUUUGUAUUUUCUUAUGGUUUUACUGGCCACACUUCAGCUGUUGUCCUCUUUGUGUUAUGCACUUUUGUGCUUAUGUGGCUCUGGUGUUAUCAGAGGAGUAAGACUUUGUUGGUAGUAUUUGAAAAUAUAGUUAGAAAUACUCAACCACUGGAAAAGUUAGGACAAAUCUUGUGAGCAAUAUUGUUAUUUGAAAAGAAUCCCACGAGGCUUUCCUUGGCUGUUUGCCUGUUCAUAGAAAUUAUUACAUGUAUAUGAUAUAGACAUCCAUAAAUACCAGUGAAUAAGUGGGUGAUUAAAAUGAUAAAAUCGUUAUAAAGGUUAUUCAAAUUAUAAAAUCAUUUAUAUUAAGUUACAUAAAUAAAUACUGUUGCAGUCAGAAAGUGAAAAGACUCUUCAUUCAUUUUUCCUGUAAUUCACUUCAGGCUCCAUAAAGAUCCUGAAGGAGAAAAUGCCUUCUUUUAUUUUGCUAAUACCAGUUUGGCCUUUCUGUGAGGGUUUUACAAAGCUAAAGGAGUCACUUCAGUCUAUUGUAAUCCCCUUUUUGUUUCAGAGAAUAUAUCCCAGAUUCUCUGUUCUUUAAGUAUCCAGUAAGACUCUUCUUGUUUGUUUUCAAAGGAAGCGUCCAUAAACCAUUUGAAAACAACAUAAUUAAGGUCCGAGCUGCCUGUGACAUCUCUCACAUGCGUGCCCAGCUGUUCUGUUGGUUUUGCUUGUUAUCAUCCAUCACCAGAUGAUAAAAGAAUAAUUCUGGAGAUACUGAUUGCUUAAUUAAUUGGAGUUCUUUUUUUGUUGUUGUUGCUUUUCUAAGGCUCCUGUUUGUAAUUGUAAUGAAGCAAUAAUAUAAU